GCCGAGGUAGCUCAGUUGGUAGCAGCAGCAGUUUCGUAAACUGCAGGUCGCCCGUUCGAACCGGGUCCUCGGCU
Molecule: transfer RNA, 74 nt
Filed under: Bacteroidota bacterium
Lineage: Bacteria; Pseudomonadati; Bacteroidota
Description: Bacteroidetes bacterium (permafrost metagenome) tRNA-Thr
Source: RNAcentral